This 478-nucleotide ribosomal RNA is filed under the name uncultured bacterium. RNAcentral's name for it is "bacterial SSU rRNA". It matches the Rfam family "Bacterial small subunit ribosomal RNA", at positions 151 to 624 of the family's 1533-position model. The record is from RNAcentral.
UCGAAAGAUGUGCUACUACCGCAUAUUCUCUGAGGAGGAAAGUAGGGGAUCGAAAGACCUUACGCUUUUGGAGCGGCCGAUGUCUGAUUAGCUAGUUGGUAAGGUAAUGGCUUACCAAGGCGACGAUCAGUAGUUGGUCUGAGAGGACGGCCAGCCACACUGGGACUGAGACACGGCCCAGACUCCUACGGGCGGCAGCAGUGGGGAAUUUUGGACAAUGGGCGCAAGCCUGAUCCAGCAAUGCCGCGUGAGUGAAGAAGGCCUUCGGGUUGUAAAGCUCUCUCAGUCGAGAAGAAAAGGGUGUGACUAAUAAGCAUAACUCAUGACGGUAUCGACAGAAGAAACACCGGCUAACUACGUGCCAGCAGCCGCGGUAAUACGUAAGGUGCGAGCGUUAAUCGGAAUUACUGGGCGUAAAGGGUGCGCAGGCGGUUCGGUAAGUCAGAUGUGAAAGCCCCGGGCUUAACCUGGGAACUGC